RNAcentral lists this ribosomal RNA (484 nucleotides) under uncultured bacterium. Its description in RNAcentral is "bacterial SSU rRNA". It matches the Rfam family "Bacterial small subunit ribosomal RNA", at positions 501 to 985 of the family's 1533-position model. The record is from RNAcentral.
CUACGUGCCAGCAGCCGCGGUAAUACGGAAGGUUCGGGCGUUAUCCGGAUUUAUUGGGUUUAAAGGGAGCGUAGGCCGGAGAUUAAGUGUGUUGUGAAAUGUAGACGCUCAACGUCUGACUUGCAGCGCGAACUGGUUCACUUGAGUAUGCACAACGUAGGCGGAAUUCGUCGUGUAGCGGUGAAAUGCUUAGAUAUGACGAAGAACUCCGAUUGCGAAGGCAGCUUACGGGAGCACAACUGACGCUGAAGCUCGAAGGUGCGGGUAUCAAACAGGAUUAGAUACCCUGGUAGUCCGCACAGUAAACGAUGGAUGCCCGUUGUUAGUUCACUUAAGAAUUAGCGACCAAGCGAAAGCAUUAAGCAUCCCACCUGGGGAGUACGCCGGCAACGGUGAAACUCAAAGGAAUUGACGGGGGCCCGCACAAGCGGAGGAACAUGUGGUUUAAUUCGAUGAUACGCGAGGAACCUUACCCGGGCUUGAA